RNAcentral lists this ribosomal RNA (253 nucleotides) under uncultured bacterium. Its description in RNAcentral is "partial 16S ribosomal RNA". It matches the Rfam family "Bacterial small subunit ribosomal RNA", at positions 524 to 776 of the family's 1533-position model. The record is from RNAcentral.
UACGGGGGGGGCAAGCGUUGUUCGGAUUCAUUGGGCGUAAAGGGUGUGUAGGUGGCGCGCUAAGUCGGGUGUGAAAUUUCGGAGCUUAACUCCGAAACUGCAUUCGAUACUGCCGUGCUUGAGGACUGGAGAGGAGACUGGAAUUUACGGUGUAGCGGUGAAAUGCGUAGAUAUCGAAAGGAAGACCAGUGGCGAAGGCGGGUCUCUGGACAGUUCCUGACGCUGAGGCACGAAGGCCAGGGGAGCAAACGGG